This 336-nucleotide unclassified non-coding RNA is filed under the name soil metagenome. RNAcentral's name for it is "partial contains 5.8S ribosomal RNA, internal transcribed spacer 2, and large subunit ribosomal RNA". The stretch from base 1 to 120 matches the Rfam family "5.8S ribosomal RNA", at positions 35 to 154 of the family's 154-position model. The record is from RNAcentral.
GAUGAAGAACGCAGCAAAAUGCGAUAAGUAAUGUGAAUUGCAGAAUUCAGUGAAUCAUCGAAUCUUUGAACGCACAUUGCGCCCCUUGGUAUUCCGGGGGGCAUGCCUGUUCGAGCGUCAUUUCAACCCUCAAGCUCUGCUUGGUAUUGGGCUCCGUCCUCCUCGGACGCGCCUCAAAGACCUCGGCGGUGGCGUCUUGCCUCAAGCGUAGUAGAAACACCUCGCUUUGGAGUGCAUGGCGUCGCCCGCCGGACGAAACCUUUUGUAUUUUCUCAAGGUUGACCUCGGAUCAGGUAGGGAUACCCGCUGAACUUAAGCAUAUCAAUAAGCGGAGGA